UACGUAGGGGGCGAGCGUUGUCCGGAAUUAUUGGGCGUAAAGCGCGCGCAGGCGGUUUCUUAAGUCUUGUGUUUAAUCCCGGGGCUCAACCCCGGUACGCAUGGGAAACUGGGAGACUGGAGUGCAGGAGAGGGAAGCGGAAUUCCACGUGUAGCGGUGAAAUGCGUAGAGAUGUGGAGGAACACCAGUGGCGAAGGCGGCUUCCUGGCCUGUAACUGACGCUGAGGCGCGAAAGCGUGGGGAGCAAACAGG
Molecule: ribosomal RNA, 252 nt
Filed under: uncultured bacterium
Lineage: Bacteria
Description: partial 16S ribosomal RNA
Rfam family: Bacterial small subunit ribosomal RNA
Source: RNAcentral